This 455-nucleotide ribosomal RNA is filed under the name uncultured Desulfobulbus sp. RNAcentral describes it as "bacterial SSU rRNA". It matches the Rfam family "Bacterial small subunit ribosomal RNA", at positions 934 to 1382 of the family's 1533-position model. Lineage: Bacteria; Pseudomonadati; Thermodesulfobacteriota; Desulfobulbia; Desulfobulbales; Desulfobulbaceae. The record is from RNAcentral.
GGAGUAUGUGGUUUAAUUCGAUGCAACGCGAAGAACCUUACCUGGUCUUGACAUCCCGGAGACCCUUAGGAAACUAGGGGGUACGUUCCAUCUGGAAGAAUCUGGAGACAGGUGCUGCAUGGCUGUCGUCAGCUCGUGUCGUGAGAUGUUGGGUUAAGUCCCGCAACGAGCGCAACCCUUGCCUUUAGUUGCCAGCAGUUCGGCUGGGCACUCUAAAGGGACUGCCGGUGUUAAACCGGAGGAAGGUGGGGAUGACGUCAAGUCCUCAUGGCCUUUAUGACCAGGGCUACACACGUACUACAAUGGCCGAUACAAAGGGCAGCGACACUGCGAGGUGAAGCCAAUCCCGUAAAAUCGGUCUCAGUCCGGAUUGGAGUCUGCAACUCGACUCCAUGAAGUUGGAAUCGCUAGUAAUCGUGGAUCAGCAUGCCACGGUGAAUACGUUCCCGGGCCUU